GACGAACGCUGGCGGCGUGCCUAAUACAUGCAAGUGGGACGCAAGGGAACACACUGUGCUUGCACACCGUGUUUUCUUGAGUCGCGAACGGGUGAGUAACGCGUAGGUAACCUGCCUAUUAGCGGGGGAUAACUAUUGGAAACGAUAGCUAAUACCGCAUAAUAUUAAUUAUUGCAUGAUAAUUGAUUGAAAGAUGCAAGCGCAUCACUAGUGGAUGGACCUGCGUUGUAUUAGCUAGUUGGUAAGGUAAGAGCUUACCAAGGCGACGAUACAUAGCCGACCUGAGAGGGUGAUCGGCCACACUGGGACUGAGACACGGCCCAGACUCCUACGGGAGGCAGCAGUAGGGAAUCUUCGGCAAUGGACGAAAGUCUGACCGAGCAACGCCGCGUGAG
This 395-nucleotide ribosomal RNA is filed under the name Streptococcus mutans. RNAcentral describes it as "bacterial SSU rRNA". It matches the Rfam family "Bacterial small subunit ribosomal RNA", at positions 28 to 405 of the family's 1533-position model. The record is from RNAcentral. Lineage: Bacteria; Bacillati; Bacillota; Bacilli; Lactobacillales; Streptococcaceae.